AUUUUCUGUUUUGAAUCGUCAACAUACUUUGGUUAUCUUGCACAAGUUUAGCUAACAAAUUUAAAGUUUAAUUUCUGAACGUCUGUGGAGAAUUAAGUGUAAAGUAAUUAUGUGUUUGAAGGAUUUGUUUGUUUGUUUAUUAACAUCUAAUCGUAUUAAAAUUAUUUGUACAAGAAAUCCAUUUAAGCAGUUUUUAAAAUGAUAAGUUAAAAAAAGAAUCAAAUUGACGCCAGUAUGAAAUUUAAAACGAAAAGUGCGAACGUUUUUGCGUUUAAACAUGUUACGAAAAAUAUAUUUUAUUGGGUUUCUUCUGAAUUUGGUUCAUCAUAGUUAUUCUCAAAGUUUUGUAUGCCCUUCAAAUGGAUUUUUUGCAUACUCUGGCAAUUGUUCAAAAUAUUACUAUUGUUAUAAUGGGGCGUCCUAUAUCUUUACUUGUCCAUCAUCGUCGGUUUGGAACCCUAACAUAAAUGAAUGCGCAGUUAGCUCACCUUGUGUGUCUACGACCACUACUACCACUACAACAACUACUACAACCACAACAACAACUACUACUACUAAACCUACCACUACUACCACUAAAACAGCAAGUACUACAACUAUCCCAACCACGGUCUCAACCACUCAGUCCACUCAAACCUCUACCAUUUCUCCUGCUACCAGUAAAACCACGGAUAUAAUUAAUAAUGUGGAUUGCGUUGAUCAAGUAUUUUACACUAAUACGCAAUAUUGCGCAGCGUUGUAUAUUUGCUACAAUCGGACAAUGUAUGGAUUAAUUUGCAACAAUGGUCUUAUGUGGGAUACGAAGUUGAAGGCUUGCAAUUAUUUGAUAGAAACAAAUUGUGGAUCAAGAUCUACUGUUAUGCCAGUUUUUACUACGACCCCUGCGCCUACGACAAUCACAACUUCGCAAACAACGCAAACAACUGAAAAAGUUACUGUCCCAACAAUUGAAACAACGCAAGCAACAGUUCCCUCAAUUGCAACCAUGCAACCUACAACUAGCGCUAUAACAACAACUGAAAAUAUAGAUUGUAUUGAAGGAUCUUACUAUCCUAAUCAACUAAAUUGCAAAGAAUAUUACUAUUGCCAAAAUGGAACGUUAUAUACAUUAGAAUGCUCUGACGGAUUUGUGUGGGAUACAAAUUUAAAACGUUGCAAUAACGCUGAAUUAAUAGACUGUGGAAAUACAACUACUACUGCAAAUUCUGUUACUACAGAAGUUAGUACAACUACUACUCCAAACCCUGUCUCUACUACUGAUUCAAUUCAAAGUACUACUAUGCCCCCUGCGACAAGUACAACCACAGAUAUAAUUACUAAUGUAGAUUGUGUUGAUCAAGUAUUUUAUUCUAAUAUGCAAUAUUGUGCGGCAUUGUAUGUUUGUUAUAAUCGUACAAUGUAUGGAUUAAUUUGCAAUAAUGGUCUGAUGUGGGAUACAAAGCUGAAGGCUUGUAAUUAUUUAAUUGAAACGAAUUGUGGAUCGAGAUCUACUUCCAUGCCUGUUUUUACAACGACCCCAGUGCCUACGACAAUCACAUCUGCUCAAACAACACAAACAACUCAAAAAGUUACUGUUCCUACGACUGAAUCAACGCAAGCUACGGUCCCAUCAAUUGGUACCACGCAACCUAUAGGGGAGAGCAGGUCUGUGUUUGUGUGCGUGAGACCCACUCGCACGCAUAGGUUACUCGCGGGGUGAGACGUCAGUGCAGCCGCCGGCUUCGACGCAACGAGUCGUAACGUGAUUUCGCGCCAAAACCAUGCCGCGAAUAUAUAUUAAAAAGGGACGAGGACGGGAGAGGUAGAUGAAGGUGCAAUAGAAUCGGCGAUAAAAGAAGUUUUGGAUAAGACAUUAUCUAUUAGAAAAUCUGCACAAAAAUAUGGCGUCAAACCAACAACACUCGAAAGUCGUCUGAAAAGUUUCAUCAACAAGAAGCUGCCGAAAAUAUGCCUACCCGUGCGUUCACUUCCAAGUUUACGUCAAAUCAGGUGUUUUCAACUGAGGAGGAAGCCCUUUUAAACAAUUACAUUAUUGAAUGCUCCAAAAUGCACUACGGUCUGACGAUCAUCCAGGUCAGAAAAUUGGCAUAUGAGUUUGCAAAAGCCAAUCAGCUUAAUUUUCAUCCGAGUUGGCAUCAUAAUAAAAUGGCUGGUAAAGAAUGGUUGGAUAGUUUCCGCAGGCGAAACGGAAACCUGAGUCUUAGAAAGCCUGAAAAUACCAGCGCCGCUAGAUCAUUUGCUUUUAACAAGACUGCUGUAACUGAUUUUUAUAAUAACCUUGAAAAGGUUCUAACAAAGUACAAAUUUACUUCA
This is an RNA transcript of Dalotia coriaria, 2313 nucleotides long. RefSeq lists it as uncharacterized. The record is from RefSeq and is a predicted model, not a curated record. NCBI's taxonomy places the organism in Eukaryota, Metazoa, Arthropoda, Insecta, Coleoptera, Staphylinidae. The transcript has 4 exons.